UAUAUUUCGUCUGGUUUAUUUUCGUCCGGUUUAUUUUCGUCUCAUAUCCCACCACCAUAUCUCCUCACAUUGAUUUUUUUACCCUCACAAUAAAAACUUUCCUAACUUUUCCAAAGUUUCCUAACUAGACACGUUAUAAACGGGCAUGUACCGAUAGCACGUUAUCAAUUAAUAAAAUUUUGUUUUAUGACAAUCAAUUCCAAAUCCUAAUUUUCCUAAUGCAUCGAUCUUUGCCUUUUUUAAGUAGUUAUUUUGAUAGGGAGGGUUUAGCCACGAAAAUCAUCCCUCCAUCGUCGGCUGCAUCCCUCACCCACGUCGCUGUUGCAGGAUCUUCAUCCGUCAUCCUGAGCAAUUGGGGCGGCGAUGCGGGCGAGCUUCACGAUAGUGGGGAGGACCAGGCCGCGGUGAAGGCAGGUCAUGCGCUCCUCACGCUCCACGAACGGAACCUGCGCACGGAGGCGGUAGCGCGGGGUGGCAGCCGGCAAUGAGGCGGCCGCGCUACGUGACGAGCUACGGGUCCCCCUUUGUGAUGUUUUGGCAUCGCUCCUUCAUCGCACAUCCUCAGGUACGUCAAUUCACUUCCUUCCCUUCCCUUCGUCCCUCGGUCCCACGCUCGUGGCGCUGAAGUGGUGGCAACAGGCGAUGGCGGUGGUGUCGCUGAUGGCGGCGAGGACAGCAUGUGGCAGCUCCCGAAGCAUGAACACGACCGCACCUCGGGCCUGCCGUCUGCCAAGAUAUGGCUCUGGCCGAUUGACAAUGGAGGUUUGGGAUCCUUCCUCUCAGCACCCACUCCUGGAAGAAUCAGCGGUG
Molecule: long non-coding RNA, 810 nt
Organism: Triticum aestivum (bread wheat)
Lineage: Eukaryota; Viridiplantae; Streptophyta; Magnoliopsida; Poales; Poaceae
Exons: 3
Source: RefSeq, a predicted model, not a curated record